This 333-nucleotide unclassified non-coding RNA is filed under the name soil metagenome. Its description in RNAcentral is "partial contains 5.8S ribosomal RNA, internal transcribed spacer 2, and large subunit ribosomal RNA". The stretch from base 6 to 121 matches the Rfam family "5.8S ribosomal RNA", at positions 39 to 154 of the family's 154-position model. The record is from RNAcentral.
GAUGAAAGAACGCAGCGAAAUGCGAUAAGUAGUGUGAAUUGCAGAAUUCAGUGAAUCAUCGAAUCUUUGAACGCACAUUGCGCCCUUUGGUAUUCCUUAGGGCAUGCCUGUUCGAGCGUCAUUUAAACCUUCAAGCUAAGCUUGGUGUUGGGUGACUGUCCGCUUCACGGCGGACUCGCCUCAAAAUUAUUGGCGGCCGGUACAUUGGCUUCGAGCGCAGCAGAAACGCGAACUCGGGCCCGUCGUAUUGGCUCCCAGAAGCUAUCUUCACAAUUUUGACCUCGGAUCAGGUAGGGAUACCCGCUGAACUUAAGCAUAUCAAUAAGCGGAGGA